UCCUGGUGACCAACCACAGCUGGCACUGGUGAACGCAGCCUCUUAGCCCAGGCAGGCUCUGGUCAGCCUCACCUGCUGGGACCGCUGAGUGGUCCAAGAGCUGGCUUGGCUGACUGGGACCUGGGCCUCAGCUUCCCCAUCUGUGCAGGGGGCCGCUGGUGAUACCGGUCCCUGCCAUGCCCUGGUGGAGAUAUGGCCCAGUGAGACUUCGUGAGGGGUCUAGGCCACUGCUGUCACGUGGUACGUCUUCUACCCUGGCCCCUAGGUGGCCCUGGCCUCAGCCUUGCUCUAAAGAGGAAUGAAGCCCAGCCCACAGCCCCUUAGCACAGAUACGCUCGGGAGACGGGACCCUCACCGUUACUCAUCUCCUUACUGUUCCCUGGACACCUUGGGGUCCCUGCGCCUCUCCACCCGUCCCUGCCAGGUCCUCCUGCUCCACCACAGGCCAUC
RNAcentral lists this long non-coding RNA (450 nucleotides) under Homo sapiens (human). RNAcentral's name for it is "non-protein coding lnc-TCFL5-2:4". Lineage: Eukaryota; Metazoa; Chordata; Mammalia; Primates; Hominidae. The record is from RNAcentral.